GCCUAGGUGGCUCAGUAGGUUAAGCAUCUGGCUUCAGCUCAGGUCAUGAUCUCACGGGGUUGUGGGUUCAAGCCCCGCCUUGGGCU
RNAcentral lists this transfer RNA (86 nucleotides) under Felis catus (domestic cat). It matches the Rfam family "tRNA". From Rfam's summary of the family: Transfer RNA (tRNA) molecules are approximately 80 nucleotides in length. Their secondary structure includes four short double-helical elements and three loops (D, anti-codon, and T loops). Lineage: Eukaryota; Metazoa; Chordata; Mammalia; Carnivora; Felidae. The record is from Rfam by way of RNAcentral.